GUAGUCAUAUGCUUGUCUCAAAGCUUAAGCCAUGCAUGUCUAAGUUCAAGCGAAAAUAACGUGAAACCGCGAAUGGCUCAUUAAGUCAGUUAUGGUUCCUUAGAUCGUACUUACUACUUGGAUAACUGUGGUAAUUCUAGAGCUAAUACAUGCAAAGAGCUCCGACCCUCGUGGAAGGAGUGCUUUUAUUAGAUCAAAGCCAAUCGGAUCUUCGGGUCCGUUCUGUUAGCGACUCUGUAUAACUUUGCUGAUCGCAUGGUCUCGUACCGGCGACGUAUCUUUCAAGUGUCUGCCUUAUCAACUGUCGAUGGUAGGUUAUGCGCCUACCAUGGUUGCAACGGGUAACGGGGAAU
Molecule: ribosomal RNA, 353 nt
Filed under: uncultured fungus
Lineage: Eukaryota; Fungi
Description: SSU rRNA
Rfam family: Eukaryotic small subunit ribosomal RNA
Source: RNAcentral